Molecule: ribosomal RNA, 492 nt
Filed under: uncultured bacterium
Lineage: Bacteria
Description: partial 16S ribosomal RNA
Rfam family: Bacterial small subunit ribosomal RNA
Source: RNAcentral
AGUGAACGCUGGCGGUAGGCCUAACACAUGCAAGUCGAACGGCAGCACAGUAAGAGCUUGCUCUUACGGGUGGCGAGUGGCGGACGGGUGAGGAAUACAUCGGAAUCUACUUUUUCGUGGGGGAUAACGUAGGGAAACUUACGCUAAUACCGCAUACGACCUACGGGUGAAAGCAGGGGAUCUUCGGACCUUGCGCGAUUGAAUGAGCCGAUGUCGGAUUAGCUAGUUGGCGGGGUAAAGGCCCACCAAGGCGACGAUCCGUAGCUGGUCUGAGAGGAUGAUCAGCCACACUGGAACUGAGACACGGUCCAGACUCCUACGGGAGGCAGCAGUGGGGAAUAUUAGACAAUGGGUGCAAGCCUGAUCCAGCCAUACCGCGUGGGUGAAGAAGGCCUUCGGGUUGUAAAGCCCUUUUGUUGGGAAAGAAAAGCAGCAGGUUAAUACCCCGCUGUUCUGACGGUACCCAAAGAAUAAGCACCGGCUAACUUCGUG